RNAcentral lists this ribosomal RNA (342 nucleotides) under Lysinibacillus sp. RNAcentral's name for it is "bacterial SSU rRNA". It matches the Rfam family "Bacterial small subunit ribosomal RNA", at positions 1190 to 1532 of the family's 1533-position model. Lineage: Bacteria; Bacillati; Bacillota; Bacilli; Caryophanales; Bacillaceae. The record is from RNAcentral.
CCGAUUCUGCCCUUAUGACUGGGCUACACACGUGCUACAAUGGACGAUACAAACGGUUGCCAAAUCGCGAGAGGGAGCUAAUCCCAUAAAGUCGUUCUCAGUUCGGAUUGUAGGCUGCAACUCGCCUACAUGAAGCCGGAAUCGCUAGUAAUCGCGGAUCAGCAUGCCGCGGUGAAUACGUUCCCGGGCCUUGUACACACCGCCCGUCACACCACGAGAGUUUGUAACACCCGAAGUCGGUGGGGUAACCUUUUGGAGCCAGCCGCCGAAGGUGGGAUAGAUGAUUGGGGUGAAGUCGUAACAAGGUAACCGUAUCGGAAGGUGCGGUUGGAUCACCUCCUA